Molecule: non-coding RNA, 1589 nt
Organism: Meleagris gallopavo (turkey)
Lineage: Eukaryota; Metazoa; Chordata; Aves; Galliformes; Phasianidae
Source: RefSeq, a predicted model, not a curated record
GUUCCAAAAGCCAUCUCUGCAGCUCUCGACAAAGAUGGUAAGCUGCUUUUGGCAUGGAGCAAGGCUUCAAAAAGUUGAUGUUCUACCCUAAGAUAGGGAUCAUUAUUCACUUACUGCAGAAGCUGUUGUUAAAAGAUUCAGAAAGUUUACUUCAAAAAAACUCUCUCACUACUGAAUACAGAGUUGCUUUAAUGACUUCACUGAUGCACCUAACUGCCAAGUCUGAUGAGUUAACGUAGGUAAAGGAAUGAAGUGGAUGUUGCUCAGCUUUGUAGUCCUCUCAUGUCCGUGGUAACUGGGUUGGGAUGUUGGUUCAAGAUAGGCAACACUUAAUCAGGCUUAAGCAGAGGUUUGUGGGGAAGCCCAAGAAGGCAGAGGGGAAUCAGUCUGUUUUCUGACAAUGCUGUUUUUUCCGAAGUCCAGCACUCCUCUCUUCUGCCAUGAUGGACAUUUUGUGCUGGGUAUAACACAGAUCAGAGAUUUUUGCCAGGUGUACCUCGAUCAGUCACACAACAGAUGAUCCAAAGUUGAGUGAAAGCAUAUUUUUAAGUUCUCUUGAGUUAAAGAAUGCAACUGCAUUCUAGACAAGAUAAUUGAUGCCACUGUUAAUUUCUUUUUAUGUGUUUAUCUAAACAUGCCUAUUGCCUGAUUCAAACCACAAAAUAUCGUUAUGCCUUUUUCUUAUAAAUGAUACAGUCACGUAUGGUCAAAACUCUCACACAUGUCCACCUAGAGACUGUAACCAAGCUACCCCAGAUAAAUACGUUAACCAUCCCAGUUUGUCACAGGGAUGUUUUUCAUCUCUCAAGUUUUGCUUCAGACCUCCUUCCAGAUAAUCAAUAUCUUUUCUGAAGUAUAUGUACUUGGUUAUCUCUCAUAACUGAAAUCUAUUUUCCAGGUCUCUGCAUUCCUAGAGAUUGUUCCAUUUUGGAAGCUCUUGUGCUAGAGAUGUGACUUCACACUUGCCUAUAGUCAGACACACAUUGUUCAGAGAAGCCCACUUUUACCAAACUCUCCAGGUUUCUGUUCUGGCUUCUGCUCUUUCAAGUGACUGGUUGAAAAGAAAGAGAUGAAGCAAUAUUAAUACCUGAGCAUCAGCUCAUCACUGACUGAGGAAAUGGUCUGAGGUGGAAACAGUAAGGACAGCAAAGGAACCAUAGGACAAAGAUCCCACCUGUUAUCCAAGACUCCAGAACUCCCCCUGAACUAUUCAGCUUUUUGCAAAUGUGAACAUAAUAUUUAUCUUUCAAGACUCAAAUCUGAUUUUUUGAAAAUGGUCUUUCCUUUAAUCAUGGCUCUCCCAAAGAUAAACAGAGGACCCUGAAGCCACUGACCCAUUCUGUCAAUGGACAAGAAGGAAGUACAUGUUCACCAUGCUGGACCCAUUGUGUCUCCCAAUGACUGUCUGCACUCCUGGCUCUUGAAAAGUAAUAAAGCUCCCUUGUUUCUGAAGUAAGCAAGAGGCACUUAGCAGAAUUAUGCCAGGAACUCAUAUAGUUAUUGCCAUCUGAAAUUAUGCCAAGUGAAUAGCAGCUUCAAAAUGAGGAGUCUUAUGCAAUCUGGGCCGCAAAUGACCUUGGAUUUCAGGU